This is a long non-coding RNA of Cyprinus carpio carpio, 984 nucleotides long. The record is from Ensembl. NCBI's taxonomy places the organism in Eukaryota, Metazoa, Chordata, Actinopteri, Cypriniformes, Cyprinidae.
CGGGGGCACCAUCGGACGAAUCUCCAAGACAGCAGAGGUUCUUGGGGCUGUGCAUCAGGAGGCAAAAGUGAGCCGUGCAGUGGAACUCAUGGUGGCUCAUGUGGAGAACCUGAAGCGCCGUCAUGUGAGGAACAGCAUUGAACUGGAGGAGAUGAAGAAACAGAUGGAGAAAAGCAGCAGAGAGCGGCACGUCUGUGAGCAGAGGGGUAGGAAACACCCAUUCAGUUCCUUCACAAUGUUAAAGUUAUGAUGCGUCCACUAGCAUUUUGGAAAAAAAUGUAUCUGUGUCACUGCAGAGGAAACUGAGGCUAUUGAAAAGCUGGAAAAAGACCUACAGAAGCCACAGUUACGGCGUAGAAUCAGUACAAACAUCAUUGCAAAGCAAAUCCAGAGGCAAAAAGUGAAGGAGUCAGAAGCUAUAUUAUCUUCAGUGACCAGUGAGAUUAGUGAAGAGAUCAAAUCAACCACAAAGAAACCUGACCACACAGAUGACUGCCAAAUGAAUAGAGGGCAAGAACCUCAAGAUGACAGUCCCUCACAAACUGUCACGGUGGAUGCUACUGAGAAGACAUCGUCCCAAAUUCAUCCCAAACAGACUCUGAGGCUUGAGCUGGACCCCACCUUUGUAAAAAAAAACACAAGUUCACUGCCAGUGUUACCUCAUCAAAGGCUGAGGAGGAAGGCAUCACUGGAGCACAGUCAUGCCUGGCUCAAGAGAUCUGAGAGCUACCUCCGAGACUGUAAUACAUGUGUCAGUAGCUUACGGCGCCCUCUUAUGCAGGGGAUGUAUCAUUGCCGCUGGAUAAUCCUUGCCAUUUACCUCACUGUUCUUUGCUCCAUCAUUAUAUUAGCCAUAUUAGUAUGGUUGCUGCAAACACCCAUCUUAUGGAUGUGAAAAUUAUAACUAUAGAAAUAGAAAUGUGACGAAUAUGUUAAAAGCACUGUUGAUAGCUUUUAGUUACAUUUGCAAGACAUUUUAUUGGA